CUGGGGCCCAGCCAAGCCUCCAAAAGGCCCCAGGCUGCACAGUUUGAAAACAACUGAUUCAAUCCCUUCAUUUUACAGAGAAAGAAACCCAUGGAAAGUGGAGAAACGUGGAAAGGUGACAAAGAUAAAUGGGAUUAAUAGAUGAGCCGCAGAUGUAUCUGUAGAGCGAAGACUACACCCAGAGAUAACCAGUCUUGUGGCUUUGGAGGUAGGAGGAGACGGUAGGGCAGUUGGCAGAGGCUGCGAGGAAGCACGGCAGCGGGUACUGCGUCAACAGUGAGAACCGCAGAUUAGAGGCCCAGAGCCCUGCCUGAGCGCUGCAGUUUCAAGGAGGGGACUUCCGUAUCCGAUGCCGGAAGCUGGGCAGGGCUGAUUAUGGAGCGGAGCAGGGAGCAUCUGGUCCUCUAUGAUCACCACCUGGGCAGCGUCAACGUGACGGCAUCAGAGCUGCCAGGGAGGGAGCCGCGCGGAGGGAGAGUCCAGGAUAAGGUGAAGGUGGAAGGCAUUGUCUCUGCUCUCCUGUCAGCUG
Lagenorhynchus albirostris (white-beaked dolphin) is the source of this 529-nucleotide long non-coding RNA. RefSeq lists it as uncharacterized. NCBI's taxonomy places the organism in Eukaryota, Metazoa, Chordata, Mammalia, Artiodactyla, Delphinidae. The record is from RefSeq and is a predicted model, not a curated record. The transcript is spliced from 3 exons.